RNAcentral lists this ribosomal RNA (766 nucleotides) under Proteus mirabilis. Its description in RNAcentral is "partial 23S ribosomal RNA". It matches the Rfam family "Bacterial large subunit ribosomal RNA", at positions 2033 to 2798 of the family's 2925-position model. The record is from RNAcentral. Lineage: Bacteria; Pseudomonadati; Pseudomonadota; Gammaproteobacteria; Enterobacterales; Morganellaceae.
UCAGUGAAAUUGAACUCGCUGUGAAGAUGCAGUGUACCCGCGGCAAGACGGAAAGACCCCGUGAACCUUUACUAUAGCUUGACACUGAACAUUGAGCCUUGAUGUGUAGGAUAGGUGGGAGGCUUUGAAGUGUGGACGCCAGUCUGCAUGGAGCCAACCUUGAAAUACCACCCUUUAACGUUUGAUGUUCUAACCUAGGCCCAUAAACUGGGUCGGGGACCGUGUCUGGUGGGUAGUUUGACUGGGGCGGUCUCCUCCUAAAGAGUAACGGAGGAGCACGAAGGUUGGCUAAGCAUGGUCGGACAUCAUGCGGUUAGUGCAAAGGCAUAAGCCAGCUUGACUGCGAGAGUGACGGCUCGAGCAGGUACGAAAGUAGGUCUUAGUGAUCCGGUGGUUCUGAAUGGAAGGGCCAUCGCUCAACGGAUAAAAGGUACUCCGGGGAUAACAGGCUGAUACCGCCCAAGAGUUCAUAUCGACGGCGGUGUUUGGCACCUCGAUGUCGGCUCAUCACAUCCUGGGGCUGAAGUAGGUCCCAAGGGUAUGGCUGUUCGCCAUUUAAAGUGGUACGCGAGCUGGGUUUAGAACGUCGUGAGACAGUUCGGUCCCUAUCUGCCGUGGGCGUUGGAAGAUUGAGAGGGGUUGCUCCUAGUACGAGAGGACCGGAGUGAACGCACCACUGGUGUUCGGGUUGUCAUGCCAAUGGCAUUGCCCGGUAGCUAAGUGCGGAAGAGAUAACCGCUGAAAGCAUCUAAGCGGGAAACUUGCC